GCGGUGUGCCUAAUACAUGCAAGUCGAACGCUUUGGCCCAACUGAUUGAACGUGCUUGCACGGACUUGACGUUGGUUUACCAGCGAGUGGCGGACGGGUGAGUAACACGUAGGUAACCUGCCCCAAAGCGGGGGAUAACAUUUGGAAACAGAUGCUAAUACCGCAUAACAAUUUGAAUCGCAUGAUUCAAAUUUAAAAGAUGGCUUCGGCUAUCACUUUGGGAUGGACCUGCGGCGCAUUAGCUUGUUGGUAGGGUAACGGCCUACCAAGGCUGUGAUGCGUAGCCGAGUUGAGAGACUGAUCGGCCACAAUGGAACUGAGACACGGUCCAUACUCCUACGGGAGGCAGCAGUAGGGAAUCUUCCACAAUGGGCGCAAGCCUGAUGGAGCAACACCGCGUGAGUGAAGAAGGGUUUCGGCUCGUAAAGCUCUGUUGUUAGAGAAGAACGUGCGUGAGAGCAACUGUUCACGCAGUGACGGUAUCUAACCAGAAAGUCACGGCUAACUACGUGCCAGCAGCCGCGGUAAUACGUAGGUGGCAAGCGUUAUCCGGAUUUAUUGGGCGUAAAGCGAGCGCAGGCGGUUUUGAUAAGUCUGAUGGUGAAAGCC
Molecule: ribosomal RNA, 609 nt
Filed under: Limosilactobacillus mucosae
Lineage: Bacteria; Bacillati; Bacillota; Bacilli; Lactobacillales; Lactobacillaceae
Description: bacterial SSU rRNA
Rfam family: Bacterial small subunit ribosomal RNA
Source: RNAcentral